AUCUCAAGGCUACUGGUCGAUGACCCAUUUUAUGCCCAAUGAAAAGUUCUAUAUACCUGCUUUGUAUACGAUUACUGCGCAACGUGACGUGCUAUACAAUUUUUACAACGUGACGUGUUACACAGCAGUAUUUCCAACGUGGGUACCUAACAAAACUGAUCCACGCAAGCAAGAAGAAUUUUCAAGGUUCCAGGUCGGAGAGUUCACACAAAUAAAACAUGUAAUUCAAGUUCUGACCUAAUUAAGUAUCAAAUUAGUUGUGAAAUCCAAAAUUUUAAAAUAAUUUUAAAAAGUUUAAAAUCUAAAAAAGUCGUUAUCGGUGGGCAAGUGCUACAAAAGUAGAAAUCGGAGAAAGCAGGUGAGGAGAAAGCAAGGUCUAUAGAUUGUCUGGCUGACAUUAUGCGAGAAAAGUGAGCAGAUAAUCUGGCAUUUGGUAGGAGACCUAGCAGCUGUCUUGGCCGUAAUUAUUCUUUCUUUUUUUAAAUUCGUGACUCGCUAUGUGAUUUUAAAUCAAUUUUUGUUUGUGUAAAGACAAUGUGCAACGAAUAACAUACAAUUUUACACCAAAGAUAACGUACACCACUGCUUAACUCACAUUCAACAAUCUAGUAAAUGCCAACAAGAGUCUAAAGGUGAACAACAACUUUUUUUGGCCUCCGCAAAUAGUGACCUCUACCAAUUAUCCACGACAAUGAACAUCAAUUUAAUGUAAUGUGGUUAUAAUAUGUGACAGUGUUAAUUAGUGGUGGAAAAUGAACUAGGUAAAUUGGGCGAAAAACCACAAGGGAUGAGUGAAUCACUCGAUCUGACUUUCACCACGCUUUCACCACCACCCUUCAAAACAUCCUCAAGACUGCCUCCCACUGAGACAAUUACAAAGUAAAAAGUAAAUCACUAAUCAUCAUGCAUCGUGGACCAAGAUGGGAAGUCCAAGAACAAGAGACUCAUCUAAUGGUAAUAACGAUAAGAUGCAUUCGUUGCUCUGCACGACAUUUUACAUUAUCCUGACUCGGGAUGAAUGAACUUGGGAGCAAUCCAAUAAAACUACCCGGGUAUCUAUGCAACCCGACCUACUUUCACCAAGAGAGAGAGAGUACAUAGGCUUCCUUACACCGAGUGGAGUGGAUUGACUGGGUUCGGGAAGUGAGAGGACCUACUACCUUCUUCUCUACGGUAGGUUAGUGGUGCUGAGCAAAGUCGACAUAGUCAUUAGUACAACAAAAUGUAGUGAAUUCGCAAUACGGUUGAGUUUGGUUAGGUCGGGAACUCGCUGAAUUCAAUAAUUUAUUAAUGUAUUUAUUGACCAUGUCCAAUCUUACUUUAGUUUUUCAUGUAUUUGUAUUGCACCUGAUAUAAUUUUUUUUACCCGAUUAAUGGCUGAUUCCUAAUACCAUAAACCUAUAAUUAUUUAUAAAAUGAUCUAGUUUGAAAUUGGAAAUCAUAAUGUCAGUUAAAUUUGCAUGAAAUUCAUCUUCUUCUUUUUCUAUGAUGCUACUGUACCUGUCUGUUGAGGUCAUACGCAUAGAGUUCUAAUUUUUCUACCAUCUUGCAAUUUGGGAUUCCCAAAUCUCCAAGAUCCCGUUUCACUCAGGUCUUUCAAUUCACUUCGCACCUCACGAUACAGCGACUCUUUAGCCAGGCGCGGCAGUAAAGUUAUAUACAAUUGAUGGUUAAUGGGCUGUGAUUCAGCAAAAAAACUACUUUGUAAAGUGAGGUGGAACAAAACAAGGUGGAAAUAAAAUGUCUUUCAGUCAUCUCGUCAAAUAUCUAGUCGUCGUCUGUCGGGUACCAACAACCAAGGUCUAAAAAAAGCUUCACGGUAACAGUAUAAUAUGUAUACAACUAACUAGUGCUAUUUUUAGAAAACGACUUUUUUUAGUACAUGUCACAUUAUUUUGUAACAAUGUUUUCAUAUCAUAUUCUACUCAAUAAAUGUCAAAUUAGUAAAAGAAA
Molecule: long non-coding RNA, 1953 nt
Organism: Folsomia candida
Lineage: Eukaryota; Metazoa; Arthropoda; Collembola; Entomobryomorpha; Isotomidae
Exons: 4
Source: RefSeq, a predicted model, not a curated record